This 472-nucleotide ribosomal RNA is filed under the name Klebsiella pneumoniae. RNAcentral's name for it is "bacterial SSU rRNA". It matches the Rfam family "Bacterial small subunit ribosomal RNA", at positions 1 to 470 of the family's 1533-position model. The record is from RNAcentral. Lineage: Bacteria; Pseudomonadati; Pseudomonadota; Gammaproteobacteria; Enterobacterales; Enterobacteriaceae.
AAAUUGAAGAGUUUGAUCAUGGCUCAGAUUGAACGCUGGCGGCAGGCCUAACACAUGCAAGUCGAGCGGUAGCACAGAGAGCUUGCUCUCGGGUGACGAGCGGCGGACGGGUGAGUAAUGUCUGGGAAACUGCCUGAUGGAGGGGGAUAACUACUGGAAACGGUAGCUAAUACCGCAUAAUGUCGCAAGACCAAAGUGGGGGACCUUCGGGCCUCAUACCAUCAGAUGUGCCCAGAUGGGAUUAGCUAGUAGGUGGGGUAACGGCUCACCUAGGCGACGAUCCCUAGCUGGUCUGAGAGGAUGACCAGCCACACUGGAACUGAGACACGGUCCAGACUCCUACGGGAGGCAGCAGUGGGGAAUAUUGCACAAUGGGCGCAAGCCUGAUGCAGCCAUGCCGCGUGUGUGAAGAAGGCCUUCGGGUUGUAAAGCACUUUCAGCGGGGAGGAAGGCGGUGAGGUUAAUAACCUCA